AGGUUUAACCGUAUUACCACAGUAUGACCUUAUAUUAUUUUUUUCCUUUCAAGGAUUAACCGUAUUACCACAGUAUGACCUUAAGAAUUUGCUUAGAUGAUUCGCUUAUAUUCAUCGACAAACCUACUUAAUGUGUGACUUUAUAGAUGGUGUCCGACUGGAUAGAUAAACUACUAAAGGAUUCCACAAAUUUAAAUCAGGAGAUUUUGGCACAAUGGUU
This 220-nucleotide long non-coding RNA is filed under the name Trifolium pratense (red clover). RNAcentral's name for it is "long non-coding RNA (TPRA_LNC011277)". Lineage: Eukaryota; Viridiplantae; Streptophyta; Magnoliopsida; Fabales; Fabaceae. The record is from RNAcentral.